RNAcentral lists this ribosomal RNA (654 nucleotides) under Triticum aestivum (bread wheat). RNAcentral's name for it is "partial small subunit ribosomal RNA". Lineage: Eukaryota; Viridiplantae; Streptophyta; Magnoliopsida; Poales; Poaceae. The record is from RNAcentral.
AUGCAGAGCCUCUUUGGUCGCAGCAGCAGGAACCAGCGGACAUUCAGGCCCAAGAAGAGUGCUCCAGCGAGGGACAAGAGCAUGAAGCUGAAGAGGCACAUCGACGCGACCCUCGGCAGCGGUAACCUGCGAGAGGUGGUCCGCCUGCCAGUCGGAGAGGAUCUCAACGAGUGGCUCGCUGUCAACACUGUCGACUUCUUCAACCAAGUGAGCCUCCUGUACGGCACCCUCAUGGAGUUCUGCACGCCAGCUACCUGCCCCACCAUGUCAGCCGGUCCAAAGUAUGAGUACAGGUGGGCUGAUGGACUCAAGAUCAAGAGGCCUAUUGAAGUGUCUGCACCAAAGUACGUCGAGUACCUGAUGGACUGGAUCGAAGCCCAGCUCGACGAAGAAUCCAUCUUCCCUCAAAAGCUUGGGGCUCCCUUCCCUCCAAACUUCCGGGACGUCGCCAAGACCAUCUUCAAGCGUCUGUUCAGGGUGUAUGCCCACAUAUACCACUCGCAUUUCCAGAUGAUUCUCAAGCUCCAGGAAGAAGCACAUCUCAACACCUGCUUCAAGCACUUUGUGCUCUUCACAACGGAAUUUCAGUUAAUCGAUAGGUCAGAGCUGGCUCCUCUGAGCGAACUGAUCGAACCCAUAUGGCGUGGACACUAG